Long non-coding RNA from Hyla sarda, 358 nucleotides. RefSeq lists it as uncharacterized. The transcript has 3 exons. The record is from RefSeq and is a predicted model, not a curated record. NCBI's taxonomy places the organism in Eukaryota, Metazoa, Chordata, Amphibia, Anura, Hylidae.
GUUUGGUAUUGCAGCCACAAACAGCAUUGUGUCAGUAAAGGGAUGGGGACGUGCAGCCUGAUGUUUCUAUACUGUACGCUGCCUGAGGAGGCCACACAUCGAGGUGUGAAUAAAGCCUCUUCCAUGAUGUUACUAGAGACAGAUUUACUCUAACAACAGGCAGUGGAUAACAGUUUGCAAGGAAUGGAGACAACUAGUGGCCUAGACUUUAGAGCUGUUUGGUUAGGAGAUGUUCUCUUUCAUCCAUCGGCCUGGGAACAUAUUUCUGUACCAUUUCUUGUGGUGAUCUCUCCAACCCAAAAAAUCCGGAAGUUGACUGCAGAUGAUCAGUCUGGAAAAUUCUUUCACAAAAUCCUCC